RNAcentral lists this ribosomal RNA (449 nucleotides) under uncultured bacterium. RNAcentral's name for it is "bacterial SSU rRNA". It matches the Rfam family "Bacterial small subunit ribosomal RNA", at positions 355 to 796 of the family's 1533-position model. The record is from RNAcentral.
UGGGGAAUCUUGGACAAUGGGGGCAACCCUGAUCCAGCAAUGCCGCGUGUGUGAAGAAGGCCUUCGGGUUGUAAAGCACUUUAGUCCGGGAAGAAGGGAUGUUGUUUAAGAGAUGACAAACUUGACGGUACCGGAAGAAUAAGCACCGGCUAACUCUGUGCCAGCAGCCGCGGUAAUACAGAGGGUGCGAGCGUUAAUCGGAAUUACUGGGCGUAAAGGGCGCGUAGGCGGUUUAUCGAGUGUGAUGUGAAAGCCCUGGGCUUAACCUAGGACGUGCAUCGCAGACAGAUAGACUAGAGUACAGUAGAGGGCAGUGGAAUUUCCGGUGUAGCGGUGAAAUGCGUAGAGAUCGGAAGGAACACCAGUGGCGAAGGCGGCUGCCUGGACUGACACUGACGCUGAGGCGCGAGAGCGUGGGGAGCAAACAGGAUUAGAUACCCGGGUAGUCC